RNAcentral lists this ribosomal RNA (490 nucleotides) under uncultured bacterium. RNAcentral's name for it is "partial 16S ribosomal RNA". It matches the Rfam family "Bacterial small subunit ribosomal RNA", at positions 30 to 507 of the family's 1533-position model. The record is from RNAcentral.
AUUGAACGCUGGCGGCAUGCCUUACACAUGCAAGUCGAACGGCAGCAUGAUCUAGCUUGCUAGAUUGAUGGCGAGUGGCGAACGGGUGAGUAAUACAUCGGAACGUGCCCUGUAGUGGGGGAUAACUAGUCGAAAGAUUAGCUAAUACCGCAUACGACCUGAGGGUGAAAGUGGGGGACCGCAAGGCCUCAUGCUAUAGGAGCAGCCGAUGUCUGAUUAGCUAGUUGGUGAGGUAAAGGCUCACCAAGGCGACGAUCAGUAGCUGGUCUGAGAGGACGAUCAGCCACACUGGGACUGAGACACGGCCCAGACUCCUACGGGAGGCAGCAGUGGGGAAUUUUGGACAAUGGGCGAAAGCCUGAUCCAGCAAUGCCGCGUGUGUGAAGAAGGCCUUCGGGUUGUAAAGCACUUUUGUCCGGAAAGAAAUGGCUCUGGUUAAUACCUGGGGUCGAUGACGGUACCGGAAGAAUAAGGACCGGCUAACUACGUG